RNAcentral lists this long non-coding RNA (220 nucleotides) under Ananas comosus (pineapple). RNAcentral's name for it is "long non-coding RNA (ACOM_LNC032867)". Lineage: Eukaryota; Viridiplantae; Streptophyta; Magnoliopsida; Poales; Bromeliaceae. The record is from RNAcentral.
AAAUAUAACAACUUUUUUUUUUAUUAUUAAACUUCUCAUUUUUCACUCAUUUUAUCUUAUUUUUUUAUCAUUUCAUUUUCCAGUACACCUUUUAUUUACUUUUAGGGCGUGUUUGGUUCGCUUCUUUUUCACCCUGGAAUCGUAAACGGAAUGGAUAAAUCCGUUUGUGGGUGUUUGGUACGCGGGAGUUCCAUUCCAAUUCCGAUUCCCGAGUGGAAUG